UGCAGUCGAGCGCGAAAGGCUUUCGGGCUGAGUAGAGCGGCGGACGGCUGAGUAACGCGUAGGAAUCUACCUGGUAGUGGGGGACAACUUGGGGAAACUCAAGCUAAUACCGCAUACGCCCCAAGGGGGAAAGCGGGGGACCUUCGGGCCUCGCGCUAUCAGAUGAGCCUGCGUAGGAUUAGCUUGUUGGUGAGGUAAAGGCUCACCAAGGCGACGAUCCUUAGCUGGUCUGAGAGGAUGAUCAGCCACACUGGGACUGAGACACGGCCCAGACUCCUACGGGAGGCAGCAGUGGGGAAUAUUGCGCAAUGGGGGCAACCCUGACGCAGCCAUGCCGCGUGUGUGAAGAAGGCCUUCGGGUUGUAAAGCACUUUAAGUGGGGAGAAAAGGGUAGCUGUUAAUAGCGGUUACCUGUGAUGUUACCCACAGAAUAAGCACCGGCUAACUCCGUGCCAGCAGCCGCGGUAAUACGGAGGGUGCGAGCGUUAAUCGGAAUUACUGGGCGUAAAGCGCGCGUAGGCGGUUUGUUAAGUCAGCUGUGAAAGCCCCGGGCUCAACCUGGGAACUGCAGUUGAUACUGGCCGACUAGAGUACGAGAGAGGGAGGUAGAAUUCCAUGUGUAGCGGUGAAAUGCGUAGAUAUAUGGAGGAAUACCGGUGGCGAAGGCGGCCUCCUGGCUCGAUACUGACGCUGAGGUGCGAAAGCGUGGGGAUCAAACAGGAUUAGAUACCCUGGUAGUCCACGCCGUAAACGAUGUCUACUAGCCGUUGGGAGACUUGAUUUCUUAGUGGCGCAGCUAACGCAAUAAGUAGACCGCCUGGGGAGUACGGCCGCAAGGUUAAAACUCAAAUGAAUUGACGGGGGCCCGCACAAGCGGUGGAGCAUGUGGUUUAAUUCGAUGCAACGCGAAGAACCUUACCAGGUCUUGACAUCCAG
RNAcentral lists this ribosomal RNA (936 nucleotides) under uncultured Gammaproteobacteria bacterium. RNAcentral's name for it is "bacterial SSU rRNA". It matches the Rfam family "Bacterial small subunit ribosomal RNA", at positions 56 to 991 of the family's 1533-position model. The record is from RNAcentral. Lineage: Bacteria; Pseudomonadati; Pseudomonadota; Gammaproteobacteria.